RNAcentral lists this long non-coding RNA (356 nucleotides) under Cyanoderma ruficeps (rufous-capped babbler). RNAcentral's name for it is "lncRNA (ENSCRFG00000004394.1)". Lineage: Eukaryota; Metazoa; Chordata; Aves; Passeriformes; Timaliidae. The record is from RNAcentral.
AUGCACAAAUGUAUUGGCAGAGCUUGCUGUAAACCUCUGAAUAUGAUGAACUCAGUAUCUGGAUUUGUUAUACUUUCAGGUGGGACCCUCUUCUGACAUGUGAUCUACUGUGAGCUACUUUGACUCCUACAAUGACAAUGUUAUCACUGCCACAUCUCUGGGAACCAGUUAUCCACAAGAACACGGUGGAAGAGAGAGUCAACAGCCAUAUUUGCUGGAGUAGUGAACCAAAUUGCUUUGACUGGAACCAUUACUCACUUGCACCUUUGAUGGCAGCAGCCAGAUGCUGCUGCUCAUUGCUGACAGCGUGAAUAGGAGGAGGCUGAAUCUUCCUGUGGGUUUGAGCUCAAGACGUG